UCCUCGGUGGCUCAGGCGGUUAGAGCGUCUGCCGUAUAAGCAGGAGGUCCCGGGUUCGAGUCUCGGUCGGGGCA
This is a non-coding RNA of Schistocerca nitens (vagrant locust), 74 nucleotides long. NCBI's taxonomy places the organism in Eukaryota, Metazoa, Arthropoda, Insecta, Orthoptera, Acrididae. The record is from the annotation of a RefSeq genome assembly.